CUGAGUGGCGGACGGGUGAGUAACGCGUGGGUAACCUGCCUCAUACAGGGGGAUAACAGUUAGAAAUGACUGCUAAUACCGCAUAAGACCACAGCACCGCAUGGUGCAGGGGUAAAAACUCCGGUGGUAUGAGAUGGACCCGCGUCUGAUUAGGUAGUUGGUGGGGUAACGGCCUACCAAGCCGACGAUCAGUAGCCGACCUGAGAGGGUAACCGGCCACAUUGGGACUGAGACACGGCCCAA
Molecule: ribosomal RNA, 243 nt
Filed under: uncultured bacterium
Lineage: Bacteria
Description: partial 16S ribosomal RNA
Rfam family: Bacterial small subunit ribosomal RNA
Source: RNAcentral